GCUUCUAACUUCCGGUACUAGUGGCGAACGGGUGAGUAACGCGUGGGUAAUCUGCCCAUAAGAGGGGGACAACAGUUGGAAACGACUGCUAAUACCGCAUAAGCUGCGCAAGCAGUAAAGGAGGCCUCUUGAUAAAGCUUCCGCUUAUGGAUGAGCCCGCGUCUGAUUAGCUAGUUGGUGGGGUAAAAGCCUACCAAGGCGAUGAUCAGUAGCCGGCCUGAGAGGGUGAACGGCCACACUGGGACUGAGACACGGCCCAGACUCCUACGGGAGGCAGCAGUGGGGAAUAUUGCGCAAUGGGGGAAACCCUGACGCAGCGACGCCGCGUGAGCGAAGAAGGUUUUCGGAUUGUAAACCUCUGUUCUUGGGGAAGAGUGAAAGACGGUACCCAAGGAGGAAGCCCCGGCUAACUACGUGCCAGCAGCCGCGGUAAUACGUAGGGGGCGAGCGUUGUCCGGAAUGAUUGGGCGUAAAGGGCGCGUAGGCGGCUUUGCAAGUCAGUAGUGGAAGUCCAUUUUUCAAGGAUGGAAGUGCUACAGAAACUGCGGAGCUUGAGUGCAGGAGAGGUUAUCGGAAUUCCCGGUGUAGCGGUGAAAUGCGUAGAGAUCGGGAGGAACACCAGUGGCGAAGGCGGGUAACUGGACUGCAACUGACGCUGAGGCGCGAAAGUGUGGGGAGCAAACAGGGUUAGAUACCCUGGUAGUCCACACAGUAAACGAUGCAUACUGGGCGUCCGGAUUUAAUUCGGGUGCCGCAGCUAACGCGUUAAGUAUGCCGCCUGGGGAGUACGUACGCAAGUAUGAAACUCAAAGGAAUUGACGGGGGCCCGCACAAGCGGAGGAACAUGUGGUUUAAUUCGAUGAUACGCGAGGAACCUUACCCGGGCUCGAACGGUGCAUGAAUAUACGAGAGAUUGUAUAGUCCUUCGGGACAUGUAUCGAGGUGCUGCAUGGUUGUCGUCAGCUCGUGCCGUGAGGUGUCGGCUUAAGUGCCAUAACGAGCGCAACCCUUGUCAUUAGUUGCCAUCAGGUCAAGCUGGGGACUUUAAUGAGACUGCCACCGUAAGGUGUGAGGAAGGGGGGGAGGACGUCAAAUCAGCACGGCCCUUAUGUCCGGGGCGACACACGUGUUACAAUGGGAGGUACAGAGGGCAGCUAUCCGGUGACGGAAUGCUAAUCUCCAAAACCUUUCUCAGUUCGGAUUGGAGUCUGCAACUCGACUCCAUGAAGGUGGAUUCGCUAGUAAUCGCGCAUCAGCCAUGGCGCGGUGAAUACGUUCCCGGGCCUUGUACUCACCGCCCGUCA
RNAcentral lists this ribosomal RNA (1304 nucleotides) under uncultured bacterium. Its description in RNAcentral is "bacterial SSU rRNA". It matches the Rfam family "Bacterial small subunit ribosomal RNA", at positions 76 to 1399 of the family's 1533-position model. The record is from RNAcentral.